This 849-nucleotide ribosomal RNA is filed under the name Triticum aestivum (bread wheat). RNAcentral describes it as "partial small subunit ribosomal RNA". Lineage: Eukaryota; Viridiplantae; Streptophyta; Magnoliopsida; Poales; Poaceae. The record is from RNAcentral.
GAUGAUGCAACAUGCGGCAUGUAUGGGACAGGUGAGUAGACACUAUUCCAUUCCUUAGUAACAUGCCAUCAUGCUAGGUUGUUUUGGGCAGAAGCUCAUAGAUUCUUUGGAGUGAAACUUCCAAGGUUGCAUCCACUCACAUGGGCGAAGGACCUCCUCGAUACAGAUUUUGUAAGUAAAGAUGAGGCGUAUGUCAUUGUUUCUGUUAUGUGCGCAGUAUGGAGUAACAGAAAUAAGUAUAGGCACGCCAAGAUUCAAUAUCAGCCUAUUCGGUCGAUGGAAAUUAUCCAGGAACACACCAGAGCUUUGGAAAUUCCGACCAAGAAGCAGCAGUCUCAGGUACAUAAAACUGGGUGGACUAAACCACUAGUCGGAACUAUAAAAAUCAACUCCGAUGUAGCUUUGGAUCUGAAGGGAGAAAGAGCAGGGACGGUUGUGAUUGCUAGGGAUCAUGAAGGGAACUUCCUUUCAGGAAGAUUCUCAACAUACACUGGGCACAAUGAUCCAUAUGUAUGCGAGGCUCUAGGUUGCAGAGAUGCCAUGUUGUUGGCAAAGGAAAAAGGGUGGGAACGGAUUCAGUUGGUUACUGAUUGCAAAAAUGUGGCAGAUGACUGGAAUGCCAGACGAGACCGCUCGAGUUGUGGCCCUGUCUUUCGAGAGAUGGGUUCGUAUCUCUCAUCUUUCCAGGGAUUUGAAGUAAGACAUUCUGGAAGAGAAGCAAACGAAACGGCACACAUUUUAGCUAAGCAUUGUUUGUCUACUGGGGUGCUCAGUGUAACUUAUGAUGUAAUCCCUGAUCUCCUAAGUGCGGCGGUGCACUUGGACUAUGUACGGUCUAUGAAUGAAUAA